AAUCAACGCUGGCGGCGUGCCUAACACAUGCAAGUCGCACGAGAAAGUGGAGCAAUCCAUGAGUAAAGUGGCGCACGGGUGAGUAACACGUGAAUAAUCUACCUCCGAGUGGGGAAUAACUGAGAGAAAUCUUAGCUAAUACCGCAUAACACUUACGAGUCAAAGCAGCAAUGCGCUUGGAGAGGAGUUCGCGGCCGAUUAGUUAGUUGGCGGGGUAAUGGCCCACCAAGACGAUGAUCGGUAUCCGGCCUGAGAGGGCGCACGGACACACUGGAACUGAAACACGGUCCAGACUCCUACGGGAGGCAGCAGUGGGGAAUUUUGCGCAAUGGGGGAAACCCUGACGCAGCAACGCCGCGUGGAGGAUGAAGUAUCUUGGUACGUAAACUCCUUUCGAUUGGGAAGAUAAUGACGGUACCAAUAGAAGAAGCCCCGGCUAACUUCGUGCCAGCCGCCGCUGUAAU
This 464-nucleotide ribosomal RNA is filed under the name uncultured bacterium. RNAcentral's name for it is "bacterial SSU rRNA". It matches the Rfam family "Bacterial small subunit ribosomal RNA", at positions 32 to 524 of the family's 1533-position model. The record is from RNAcentral.